UCAGCUCCUGUGCUCACUGCCAAGCUGUAAAUUAAAACCGGAGUGAGCGCAGGAGCAUGUAAGCUUCAACAGGGAAGAAGCAUCGCGAUUGGCGGUUGAGUGAAAGCAGGCGGGGGCAGAGGUCAGGAAUGAGGAAAGGCUAAAUCACGUGCCUGCAACGUCAGCUCUUCAAAGGAAAGCCACAAUAUACUCAUGCGCAUGUGCAGGGCACUGCUGUGAAUGAUUGCGCAUGCGUGUGCCCUAAUAGGACUCGUUUUUGGACUGCAGCCAGGGAAUGCUUCCAUAUACAGCUUUGAGCUUUCUUCAAAAACGAUGACAGCACAAACCUUAGUAGAAAAACGAAUGAGGGAAUGCUUACUGAAAUAAAUCCAUGAAUAACACAGUAGAAAGAAAGCUGAAAAUCCAAUUGGUUUAUGAGGAACCAAACCAAAGGAGAAGAACCUGGAGCCCUGAUGAGGAGUGGCUUGCAGACAAAGAGAAUCUUGCAUAAGAAAGGUUGAAGUGGGCACCCAGAGUAGAGACACCCAGCGGUCAGCCUCUCAUGGCAAGUUUGGAAGCCUGCGGUGAACAACACCCUUUUGAGGACCAGACCUUUCUGCAGCAGUACGUACAGAGAACCAACCUCAACAAGAUGAAUGGAUGAAAAUGACAGUUCAAAUGGCAGCCAAAGUACAGUCCUGAGCAGGCAAAGAACAAGAAAUAAAAGAAGCCAGAUGAGAAAGAAUCAUCAGAGAACACAAUAUUAAUAUUUUUGCAGUUAUUAUGACCUUUAAAUAUACUGCACUGCUGUAACAGUACCACAAAUCGUCUGCAAAGGACUUAAAUUAUACUCACCCCAGCUGCAAAUCCCAAA
This is a long non-coding RNA of Xenopus laevis (African clawed frog), 853 nucleotides long. RefSeq lists it as uncharacterized. The record is from RefSeq and is a predicted model, not a curated record. The transcript is spliced from 3 exons. Lineage: Eukaryota; Metazoa; Chordata; Amphibia; Anura; Pipidae.